This is a non-coding RNA of Geomicrobium sp. JCM 19039, 266 nucleotides long. It matches the Rfam family "Bacterial large signal recognition particle RNA". Rfam says of the family: The signal recognition particle (SRP) is a universally conserved ribonucleoprotein involved in the co-translational targeting of proteins to membranes. Archaeal SRP consists of a 7S RNA and homologues of the eukaryotic SRP19 and SRP54 proteins. In most bacteria, the SRP consists of a 4.5S RNA and the Ffh protein (a homologue of the eukaryotic SRP54 protein). NCBI's taxonomy places the organism in Bacteria, Bacillati, Bacillota, Bacilli, Caryophanales. The record is from Rfam.
CCGUGCUAGGUGGGGAAUUAGCGGUGCCCUGUACUUGCAAUCCGCUACAGCAAGACUGAAUCCCUUCCUGAGGUUUAUACGCUGCGAGGUCUGCCCUAAGUAAGUAGUGUUGACAUUUGGGUUCCACGCAACGGAAACUCGUGAACCCUGUCAGGUCCGGAAGGAAGCAGCAGUAAGCGUGACCUUUCGUGUGCCGUGGAGUUGCCUGGAUCGAGCCAACUGCUUAGGUAACGCUUGUGGUGUAUAGAUCGAUGGAAGGUGCGCGG